AUUGAACGCUGGCGGCAUGCCUUACACAUGCAAGUCGAACGGUAGCACGGGAGCAAUCCUGGUGGCGAGUGGCGAACGGGUGAGUAAUAUAUCGGAACGUGCCCGGUCGUGGGGGGAUAACGUAGCGAAAGCUACGCUAAUACCGCAUACGAUCUACGGAUGAAAGCGGGGGAUCGCAAGACCUCGCGCGAUUGGAGCGGCCGAUAUCAGAUUAGGUAGUUGGUGAGGUAAAGGCUCACCAAGCCGACGAUCUGUAGCUGGUCUGAGAGGACGACCAGCCACACUGGGACUGAGACACGGCCCAGACUCCUACGGGAGGCAGCAGUGGGGAAUUUUGGACAAUGGGCGCAAGCCUGAUCCAGCAAUGCCGCGUGCAGGAUGAAGGCUCGGUGUAACU
Molecule: ribosomal RNA, 397 nt
Filed under: uncultured bacterium
Lineage: Bacteria
Description: bacterial SSU rRNA
Rfam family: Bacterial small subunit ribosomal RNA
Source: RNAcentral